GAUGAACGCUGGCGGCGUGCCUAAUACAUGCAAGUCGAGCGAACAGACGAGGAGCUUGCUCCUCUGACGUUAGCGGCGGACGGGUGAGUAACACGUGGAUAACCUACCUAUAAGACUGGGAUAACUUCGGGAAACCGGAGCUAAUACCGGAUAAUAUAUUGAACCGCAUGGUUCAAUAGUGAAAGACGGUUUUGCUGUCACUUAUAGAUGGAUCCGCGCCGCAUUAGCUAGUUGGUAAGGUAACGGCUUACCAAGGCAACGAUGCGUAGCCGACCUGAGAGGGUGAUCAGCCACACUGGAACUGAGACCCGGUCCAGACUCCUACGGGAGGCAGCAGUAGGGAAUCUUCCGCAAUGGGCGAAAGCUUGACGGAGCAACGCCGCGUGAGUGACGAAGGUCUUCGGAUCGUAAAACUCUGUUAUUAGGGAAGAACAAAUGUGUAAGUAACUAUGCACGUCUUGACGGUACCUAAUCAGAAAGCCACGGCUAACUACGUG
Molecule: ribosomal RNA, 497 nt
Filed under: uncultured bacterium
Lineage: Bacteria
Description: partial 16S ribosomal RNA
Rfam family: Bacterial small subunit ribosomal RNA
Source: RNAcentral